AUGAAAUGCAGCUGGAUCAUCCUCUUCUUGAUGGCACUAACUACAGGGGUCAACUCAGAAGUCCAGAUACAGCAGUCUGGGGCUGAGCUUGCGAAACCUGGGACCUCAGUCAAGUUGUCUUGCAAGGUUUCUGGCUUUAACAUUGGGAACACCUACAUGCACUGGGUGAAUCAGAAGCCUGGAAAGGGCCUGGAAUGGAUAGGAAGAAUUGAUCCUGCAAAUGGAAAUACUAAAUAUGCUGAGAAGUUCAAAAGCAAGGCCACACUGACUGCAGAUACAUCGUCCAACACAGCCUACAUGCAACUCAGCCAACUGACAUCUGAGGACACAGCAAUCUAUUUUUGUGCUAUGCACUGUGUUGAAUCCCCAUCCAGAGUGUGUCAGAAACCCCAGAGGAGCAAGCAGUUGCCCUGUGAUUGA
Rattus rattus (black rat) is the source of this 420-nucleotide non-coding RNA. The record is from the annotation of a RefSeq genome assembly. Lineage: Eukaryota; Metazoa; Chordata; Mammalia; Rodentia; Muridae.